Molecule: ribosomal RNA, 795 nt
Filed under: uncultured bacterium
Lineage: Bacteria
Description: bacterial SSU rRNA
Rfam family: Bacterial small subunit ribosomal RNA
Source: RNAcentral
AGAGUUUGAUCAUGGCUCAGAUUGAACGCUGGCGGCGUGCCUAACACAUGCAAGUCGAGCGGUAACAGGCGUAGCAAUACGUGCUGACGAGCGGCGGACGGGUGAGUAAUGCUUGGGAAUCUUCCCGGUAGUGGGGAAUAACCAGCCGAAAGGUUGGCUAAUACCGCAUACGUUCUACGGAAGAAAGCGGGGGACCGUAAGGCCUCGCGCUAUCGGAUGAGCCCAAGUCGGAUUAGCUAGUUGGCGGGGUAACGGCCCACCAAGGCGACGAUCCGUAGCUGGUCUGAGAGGACGACCAGCCACACCGGAACUGAGACACGGUCCGGACUCCUACGGGAGGCAGCAGUGGGGAAUAUUGGACAAUGGGGGAAACCCUGAUCCAGCGACGCCGCGUGUGUGAAGAAGGCCUGCGGGUUGUAAAGCACUUUUAGUGGGGAUGAAAAGUUCCGUUCUAACAAAGCGGGAUCUUGACCUAACCCAAAGAAAAAGCACCGGCUAACUCUGUGCCAGCAGCCGCGGUAAUACAGAGGGUGCGAGCGUUAAUCGGAAUUACUGGGCGUAAAGCGAACGUAGGUGGUUGUGUAAGUCGAGUGUGAAAGCCCCAGGCUCAACCUGGGAACUGCAUUCGAGACUGCAUUACUCGAGUAUGGGAGAGGGCAGUGGAAUUUCCGGUGUAGAGGUGAAAUUCGUAGAUAUUAGGAAGAACACCAGUGGCGAAGGCGGCUCACUGGUCCGGUACUGACGCUGAGGUGCGAAAGCGUGGGGAGCAAACAGGAUUAGAUACCCUAGUAGUCC